Long non-coding RNA from Phyllopteryx taeniolatus (common seadragon), 2945 nucleotides. RefSeq lists it as uncharacterized. Lineage: Eukaryota; Metazoa; Chordata; Actinopteri; Syngnathiformes; Syngnathidae. The record is from RefSeq and is a predicted model, not a curated record. The transcript has 3 exons.
GUGUGUGUGUGGUGGUGGGGAACCUGUGCUGCGUUCAAAGACAGCAGGGGAAAAAUCUGAACAACAACGUAACCGAGGUGCAGUUGUUGGGCCUCUCAGUUGUACAACUCCUGUAAUAUAUAGGCUUAACGUUAAAGCAAUGUUUAGACCCUUCAAAGUAAUGUGUAUUUUUUUAAAAAAAUAAUAUAAGCAAUCAGUUUAUCCGCAUAUUUGAAAGCGUGAAGACUUUGAAGUUUACGAGGUGCCUCAAAUGCAUCGCUGCGACGUUUAUUUGCGUUUUCAUUCACCGGCCUGAUUUGAAAACUGGAGGCGUGCUCAACUUGUUCUGUCUCUUCCACACGUUUCGCUUUGCGUAAUUCUUCUUACUGAGCAGAGUUAUUCUACAGAGCAAGUGUAAAUUACGUGUAAUUGUCUAUGCUUAUGAUCGCUUAUAUUUUUUAUUUCUCAAAAAUGACCUCCAUGGAAAAUGGAAGUAGUUCACUGCUUCCCUCUGCUGGGAGUCAACCGUCCUGCAGUGAAAAAACGCUCUUGGGAAGGCUUUACCUUUUUUUUUCUUCUUCUUCUUCUUCUGGUGUUUCUAGGUGACAGUUUUGCUGGGCGUCCGCUUUUGGCAGAGUUGCUGUCAUGUUGGAGACCGUCCAUUUGUAAAUGAUUUGUCUGACAGUGGAAUCUUUCGAGAAUGGUCUGAGAGCCCUCCCCAGAUGGAUGGGCUGUCAAUAAAUAGUCUUCAUUCUUCCAUAAUUCUUCAUCUCCUUUGCUCUUGCUUUAGUUGAUUUUUAUGGGACCACAUUUGAUUCGGUUGCUUUCAUCUGUAUGAAUUAGUGCGGGCCAAAACCUUUCCCAAUGAGGUCUUAUUUCAUAGGUCAUAAUUCAGCAGAUACAGUACAGCUGUUAAAAGCUAUCCGGGUGCUUGUGCAGGACCUGCUGGCAGUUAAGUCCCGAAUAUGCUAUAUUUGUACUUUUGCACUUAAGUACACGGUAUGAGACUUUUUGAGACUCUAGUCUGUGUAAUGGUGAGAUGAGUACGAGCAGCUCUAGUUUUGGUUACAGUGUUUUACAUGGGCUCUAACACAUUAAACACGCAGAUCACAUACACAAUCAGCAUUAGAGGUGUGUUCAUUCACUGCUUUAUUGGGUACUGCAUACAUUUUGCUAUUAAAGCCCCCCCCCCACAUUGUAUAAUUAUUUUCACAUAUAAAGCUUUAUAAAUUCUGCUUUAGACUGAUAGGUAUACCUGAGUUGCGGAUUUGCUUCUGUGUUUUAGAUCAUUGCCCUGUUGCAACACCCAUCCUCUUUUGAGUUUCUAUCUUGCUGUUUUUAGAUCUACCUACCUACCUAUCGUCUCAUCCUUUACAUCCUCUACCCUCUUGGUCUCAAGUUGUCUUCUUGCAUUGCUGGGGGCUUCAUUGCUUUUUUGUUCUGCUUUGUUUUCCCAUGAUAUACGAUCGUACUGUGUUUUAUUCUUGUCUGUUAAAGCACUUUGUCAACAUGUGUUUUUAAAGGUGCUAUACAAAUAAGAAGAAGAAGAAGAAGAAAAAGAAAGAUAGCUGGGAUAGGCUCCAGGACACCCAUGACCCUUGUGAGGAGAAGCGGUACAGAAAAUGGAUGGAUCAUAAUAAUAAUAAUAAUAUUAAUGUCUGAAUAACAUGGUGUUGACCAGAGGCAUGUUGAUUUAAUCACCUGUAAAUACUAUGGCGAUAGAAUGUAGCAAAACAUCAUAAAGCGCUGUGUAAUAAGUGUAAUAAAGAGUCAUUCUCCAUUUUCGUGGGAGUGGGCUCGUUUGAAGGGAUUUGAACUGAGUAGAAUUCAGGGAAGGGCCAGCCUGAUCGGAUUUAGGAACUCAAGGAUCUAUUGCUGAGUUGUCAGGGCUGCUGCCUCAGCACCCUGAACGCCUUCUGUGCGAGUGUGUUCGUAGGUGUGUCUCUGUGCAGGUAUGGCGAGACCAGUUGGAGCCGGGACCAGGUGCAAUUAAUCUUCAUCAACGGUGUACUUAAGAUCGCCUCGAGUAGUCGUACUUAACCCAACGCCUGCCUCCUCGCCUGCACAACCUGCCUGCGUGCGGAGUUCCCCCACGCCUGGUUCCUCACCCGCACUCCCUUCACGCCUGCCCGUGGAACCCCUUGUCUGGCCGAGACGGACCACCCGAAGUCCCUGCUCCCCCUACCUGGGCGCCGUUCCCCCCUGUUUGCCUGUUGCGAGGAAACAAAUUCCCUAUAAGUUGACUUGCUUUGCUCGUCUCUGCUGUUGGGUCCUCUCCCGCAGUACAGUAUUGGGAAAAUUGCAAGACAGCGGUUUUGACCAAUUUACUGUUUGGAAAAUGAAGAUGUCAUCUGGUUAAAAACUACUACGACUACUCGCCAGUGAAGUGGAGCCUAUCCUAGCUGACUUCAGAGAGGCAGGGUACACCCGAGAAUGGUUGCCAGUCAAUUUUAGGACACAUACAUACUGGACAAUCUUUUACACUCCAAAAGUUUCUCCAGGUCUCUGACUCUGGCUGAACCUGUGGACUGGCUAACUAAUUUCAUCUUCGUAUUGUUUAUUGUUGGAUGUUAGAAGAGACCAAAACCAUUAAAACAUCGAGGCUAUUAUCAAUUACCUAUGUUCUGCAGCCGGGAGAGCCAGUGCGUUGUCUCUGGGAACUGGUUACCAAAACGUGGACUUGGGGCCCCGAUCAGGUCCAACAACACAAAUAGAUCCUGGAGAAGAAGCAACACAAAUGCUGAAUUACCGUCCGAGAAACAAGCUCUCUCUGACUCUACACACCAGGAACAUGCAGUCAAGGGAGGCAGAGCCUUGACCUGCAUGUGAAGAAUAAAGAAACUAACUAAUUAUCAGGCCUCCAUCACAUUCUUUUCCAUAUUAUUUCUCUGGUUUGGGCUUUAUUGUCAUUUAUUGUCGUUUCCUGCAGCCCCCUUUUUUGGAGCUUGGGUGGUCCUUUGUGCCUC